GAUCCCCUACGGGGGGCAGCAGUGGGGAAUAUUGGGCAAUGGGCGCAAGCCUGACCCAGCAACGCCGCGUGAAGGAAGAAGGCUUUCGGGUUGUAAACUUCUUUUCUCAGGGACGAAGAAAGUGACGGUACCUGAGGAAUAAGCCACGGCUAACUACGUGCCAGCAGCCGCGGUAAUACGGAGGAUGCGAGCGUUAUUCGGAUUUAUUGGGUUUAAAGGGUGCGUAGGCGGACUGGAAAGUCAGCGGUAAAAUCGAGAGGCUCAACCUCUUUCCGCCGUUGAAACUGUCGGUCUUGAGUGGGCGG
Molecule: ribosomal RNA, 305 nt
Filed under: uncultured bacterium
Lineage: Bacteria
Description: bacterial SSU rRNA
Rfam family: Bacterial small subunit ribosomal RNA
Source: RNAcentral